CAAAUCUUUGCGAGUCUGCGUACUUAACCGUACGCAGUUCUCACACAUUAGCACAGGGCCGCAAGGCUCUGAUGUUUACGCUUGUAUGUUUGACAGAGUUAGUUGAGAAUAAAAAAGA
This 118-nucleotide unclassified non-coding RNA is filed under the name uncultured fungus. RNAcentral's name for it is "sequence contains ITS1". The record is from RNAcentral. Lineage: Eukaryota; Fungi.